UGUUUGUUUGUGAGUGUGUGUGUGUAUUUGUGAGUGUGUUUGUGUGUGAAAUGGGGUGACCUUUAAUCUAUUUCGUCAUUAUGCAUCCUUGAGUUGAUUUGCAUUAGGAUUGAGUUGUGUGAUUAAAAAAAGAAAUGUUUGUCACUGGAGUCGCCGUCUGAGUCAGUUGCCCCCCAAGCAUGACUGGGUGGCAGCAUCAGCAUCACGGCGAAACAAGGGUAAAGGAGAUUAGCAUUAACCAGCACAGGCACUGGCCACAUGCACAACAAUACUAGUGUACUGUGUCUCCCUACAGACCGCCGAGCCCUCAUUAUAUCACUGCCUGUGGUCCUUCAACCAAGGAGGGCUUUAGCCCAGGGGGAGACUAUAUAUUGUGUGUUUGUGUGUGUCAGUGAGAUAGGGGAAGAGUGUGUGUGUGUGUGUGUGUGUGUGUGUGUGUGUAGGGGUGUGUGUUGAGGAGAUACCAUGAACUAGUCAGUAAGAGACUGGUAGCCUAAAGCCAUUAUCAUUAAUUGAAUAUACAAAAACACAUUUCAGAAAUGAUUGGCUUUCACCAGUUUUAAAAUUAGGUCUCUCUUCCGUGGGCAGACUGAUCGUCAUGCGCACGCAUGCCUGCUGAUGGAGACGUGUGCAGUUCAAUCACACGCAUAUCUGUUGAUGCAGAACACAUCCACGCAGACCAUCACCCAAUCACACGCAUAUCUGUUGAUGCGGAACACAUCCACGCAGAUCAUCACCCAAUCACGCGCAUAUCUGUUGAUGCAGAACACAUCCACGCAUAUCUGUUGAUGCAGAACACAUCCACGCAGAUCCUCACCCAAUCACACGCAUAUCUGUUGAUGCAGAACCCAUCUCAUGUGAGCCUAACAAACAAAUUAGGGCUAUUGCACUAGAUGAAUAUUCCACCAUGACAUGACAUCGUUUAGGACUGAGGUACCACUCUGGACAUGUGAUUGUGUUAUGUGUGACUGAGGUGAUUGUGUUAUGUGUGACUGAGGUGAUUGUGUUAUGUGUGACUGAGGUACCACUCUGGACAUGUGAUUGUGUUAUGUGUGACUGAGGUGAUUGUGUUAUGUGUGACUGAGGUGAUUGUGUUAUGUGUGACUGAGGUACAACGCUGGACAUGUGAUUGUGUUAUGUGUGACUGAGGUACCACGUGUGAUUGUGUUACAUGUGAUUGUGUUACUUGUGAAGAUGUCUCUGCUAAAUGUAGUGGUCAAGUAUGCUACAUCUAUUCAAAGGGCCCCCUUAAAAUGAUCAGUCAAAAUUGUCAGGCCAUCUAGGAAAUGUGCCAAUGUGCACCACAAUGAAAUGCUACAUCCUGACUGUCCCACCCUUAACACAGCACAACACCCUUAACACAGCACAACAAAUGCACACUUAGACAAAUACACAGGUAGAGCAGCAUUUUAUCAGUGACGCCUCAGCUACCCCAACUGUGCGCAACGAGAUGAGGUGAUACUAAUUAGAAUGUGAAAAACAAAAACAGGUUUCAUAAUCCUGUUAAUCCGAGUUGAUUACACUGCAACAUCAGCAUGAAAGCUGUGCCGUAUGAUUAAUUAGUAAAUUUAGUUUGAAUCAUUAUUUUAAACCUGAGACCAAGACAAAAUCAAGACUAAAUGUCCAGACAGCCACGGCACAACUAUCACACAAUGAAGGCAACGUGAUAAAUACAGCACAAAUGAAAUGCUUAAUCCACAGAAAACACAAGUUUGAAAACAGCUUUUAUAUACAAUUUGCGAGAGCAGACACACUUUGCUGACACGACUGAUAGAUAACAUUCCAAGUGACAAACUGCAUUCCAGACUCCCACGUUCAUUUUGUCACAUGAAGAGGUGCUACUUGGUUUAACAGUAAAAGUAAAAGACAGAUAUUAAUUGUAUUUUUACUUUGACCCCAAAUGUGCAUGCCUGGUAUAGAAAUUUAAAUUCAAAUGAUUACAUGGCAUUCCAUUUCACAUAUGGUCAUUUUACAUAUCCAUUUUUCAAAAUAAAAUCAUCAAUUCUAUUAUAUUACUUUACUGUUACUGUAAUGCUAUUUUAAAGGAGAUAUAUGAAAAAUGGAAAAGACACUUAUAAUAAAACUCUACUUAAUCUGCAUGCACUGGUAUCCUAUGAAAGAAGCUAUGCGGUAUAAGAAAAAGUUUGUAUCCAUGAAACUGUUGUUUCAAGGUUGAAUUAGAGAAGGCCUUGAGUAUAUGUUCAUAUAUUUAAAUAAGAAUAUUGUAUCCUACUCGAGCAGGAACCCCAAGAAGAGGACCUUGGGACCCAUGAAUGUCCUCUUCUCUAGAGAAAAAGGCCAGUUCCUUGUCAAGAGAAGCCACAAUGCAUUCAAGGACCAUGUGGCAGAGGCACAACUGUGUCCCAUGAAAGUGUCUGCAAUCUGCGGAGAGUGCAUAGUCAUCCAUAGAAUGUAUUAUUCAUACUCUUAAGGGUUUAAUAUGGGUAUGCAUUGUAUUAAGUACCCACAUGUUUUUCAUACAGCAAAAUGAUUCAGAUUCUACAGGUGGAACUUAGUCAGGGUAGACAAUCUGAUCUCGAUACCUUCAAACAUUUUGAAAAUGUUAGUGUCCCAAUAUGCUCUAUCACACUUUGGACAGCACGAGUGGGAUGAUACCCUGCCAUAAUGUUAAUGACAUUUGGUAUUGGGCUCUGACAUGAAGUGCCCAUAUCUGAAGUAGGGGGAAUACAUUGACAAUCAUUUUACAAUGGGGCCGUGGGACGACCUCUAUGUGAUGUGGUAUGGAAUGACUAGGUAAGAGUUCAUGGGAGACUGUGUUAUCACAGAAACACCAGUGCUACCAGUGUUUUGGCAUCACAGGGCAUGUGGUCUUUGUAAAGCUUUGUAAACUUAAACAUAUUAGUGCUUUAAGGAAACCUUUGCCAGCAAAUAACAAGUUUUACCUGUGGAAAUAGAUCAACUUUACUGUGCAGUUGUUAAACAGAACUCUUAUCAGACCUUUUAAUAGGAUAUGCCAUUGUCUUUACAGCAUCACCAUGAAUCCUUGUUGUUCUUUGACAGCAUUCAUCGCUGUGUGCUCCUUGUGUUUUGUUUUGCCUGGCUGACUCUGUUACCAUGGUCUAUCUAAGUAAACCUCACCCUUGCUGUACUCCCACCUGCGUGCUGCAUUUGGGUUCUCUCUGUCGCCCAACCUGACCAGCCUGCAGUCCCUGGGGCUUAAGCCCCUCCUUCACCCCAUUGUUAAUCCGGCCC
This is a long non-coding RNA of Clupea harengus (Atlantic herring), 3213 nucleotides long. Lineage: Eukaryota; Metazoa; Chordata; Actinopteri; Clupeiformes; Clupeidae. The record is from Ensembl.